Molecule: ribosomal RNA, 445 nt
Filed under: Hyalopeplus similis
Lineage: Eukaryota; Metazoa; Arthropoda; Insecta; Hemiptera; Miridae
Description: partial large subunit ribosomal RNA
Rfam family: Bacterial large subunit ribosomal RNA
Source: RNAcentral
GACUGUACAAAGGUAGCAUAAUCAUUUGUCUUUUAAUUGAGGACUGGAAUGAAUGGUUGGAUGAGAAAUAUUCUUUCUUUAUUUUAUAUAAAAAAAUUAAUUUUUUAGUUAAAAAGCUAGGAUCUUAUUAUAGGACGAGAAGACCCUAUAGAACUUUACUUUUAUAUCUAUAUAAAGUUUAUUUAUUUUUAAAAUUUUGUAUUUUUUUAAAAAGUUUCGUUGGGGUGAUGGAAAAAAUUUUAUAACUUUUUCUAUUUUUUACAAAUAUUUAUGUUUUUUUGAUCCUUUUUUAAGGAAAUAAGAUUAAGUUACCUUAGGGAUAACAGCGUUAUUUUUUCGGAGAGUUCAUAUUGAUGAAAGAGUUUGCGACCUCGAUGUUGGAUUAAAAUAAGUUACAGGGGUAUAAUAUUGUACACUAGGUCUGUUCGACCUUUAAAUUUUUACA